GCCAACUACCAUCGGGACCAAAGAAGCAAGUUCCCUCUCUUCUAGCCAUUCAAAAUAGUUGAGAAUGGGGUUGUUGAAGAAAAAACACCCGAAACAUUCAAAGCCGACGUUGAAGGGUUUCUUAACGGCGGUUUUAGCUACACAUGCUGCAAUAUUCCUCUUGGUUCUUGCCGGUUUAUCCCUCUCUGGGACAGCCGUGGCAUUUAUCGCCACUAUGCCGCUAUUCGUCGUAUUUAGUCCGGUUCUCGUACCAGCGGGUAUUACCACUGGUUUGCUAGCUAUGGGUUUAGCCGCCUCGGGAGGCUCCGGUCUGACGGCCCUCAGCAUCAUCUCGUGGCUCUACAAGAAAUUUACGGUUAAGGAGCUGCCCAAACAUCAGGUCUAACGCUCGUCACAGGCUCACCAGACGGCCGUGAAUCGCAUUGAAUAAAUGAAAGGAAGCCUAGACAAAUGAUGGUGAACAAAAAAAACGCCAUAGACAAAUGAUGAUAUGAAAAACUUGAUAUACAGUUAUAUAAUUUCACAAAUUAAAUCUAGUUAACCCAACUUUUUUAUAGUAAUAAUUGUUACGUGGGGAUGGAACUAAAGUUUUCAAAUAGCAUCUUAUUAAUGUAUGUCGUGGUACCUAAUACUGACAAAUGCAUGCGUAUUUGUUAUCUACUGCUAUACUCUACUCUCUACAACUAUACAAGUAUUGUAUAUGAUAUCUAAUAGUAUAUCAUUUUGAAAACGAAAUAAUGUCAUUGAUUUUGACCUU
Brassica oleracea var. oleracea is the source of this 757-nucleotide RNA transcript. It is a transcript of the gene named oleosin-B1-like, with no coding region annotated. Lineage: Eukaryota; Viridiplantae; Streptophyta; Magnoliopsida; Brassicales; Brassicaceae. The record is from RefSeq and is a predicted model, not a curated record. The transcript is spliced from 3 exons.